RNAcentral lists this ribosomal RNA (519 nucleotides) under uncultured Glomeromycotina. RNAcentral describes it as "SSU rRNA". It matches the Rfam family "Eukaryotic small subunit ribosomal RNA", at positions 569 to 1092 of the family's 1831-position model. The record is from RNAcentral. Lineage: Eukaryota; Fungi; Glomeromycota.
AGCAGCCGCGGUAAUUCCAGCUCCAAUAGCGUAUAUUAAAGUUGUUGCAGUUAAAAAGCUCGUAGUUGAAUUUCGGGGUUAGUAGGUUGGUCAUGCCUCUGGUAUGUACUGGUCUCACUGAUUCCUCCUUCCUGAUGAGCCGUAAUGCCAUUAAUUUGGUGUUGCGGGGAAUUUGGACUGUUACUUUGAAAAAAUUAGAGUGUUUAAAGCAAGCUAACGCUUGAAUACAUUAGCAUGGAAUAAUGAAAUAGGACGUUCGAUCCUAUUUUGUUGGUUUCUAGGAUUGACGUAAUGAUUAAUAGGGAUAGUUGGGGGCAUUAGUAUUCAAUUGUCAGAGGUGAAAUUCUUGGAUUUAUUGAAGACUAACUACUGCGAAAGCAUUUGCCAAGGAUGUUUUCAUUAAUCAAGAACGAAAGUUGGGGGCUCGAAGACGAUCAGAUACCGUCCUAGUCUCAACCAUAAACGAUGCCGACCAGGGAUCGGCGGAUGUUACUUUUAGGACUCCGCCGGCACCUUAUG